UGCGUAGGCGGGGCAAUUAGUCAGUGGUGAAAUCCUGCGGCUUAACCGUAGAACUGCCAUUGAUACUGUUGCCCUUGAGUAUAGUCGAGGUGGGCGGAAUGUGUAAUGUAGCGGUGAAAUGCAUAGAGAUUACACAGAACACCAAUUGCGAAGGCAGCUCACUAAGCUAUAACUGACGCUGAGGCACGAAAGCGUGGGGAGCGAACAGGAUUAGAUACCCUGGUAGUCC
This 229-nucleotide ribosomal RNA is filed under the name uncultured bacterium. RNAcentral describes it as "partial 16S ribosomal RNA". It matches the Rfam family "Bacterial small subunit ribosomal RNA", at positions 568 to 796 of the family's 1533-position model. The record is from RNAcentral.